RNAcentral lists this ribosomal RNA (424 nucleotides) under uncultured prokaryote. Its description in RNAcentral is "bacterial SSU rRNA". It matches the Rfam family "Bacterial small subunit ribosomal RNA", at positions 355 to 796 of the family's 1533-position model. The record is from RNAcentral.
UGGGGAAUAUUGGACAAUGGGCGAAAGCCUGAUCCAGCGAUGCCGCGUGAGUGAUGAAGGCCCUAGGGUUGUAAAACUCUUUCGAUGGUGAAGAUAAUGACGGUAGCCAUUAAAGAAGCCCCGGCUAAUUUCGUGCCAGCAGCCGCGGUAAUACGAAAGGGGCAAGCGUUGUUCGGAAUUACUGGGCGUAAAGCGCGCGUAGGCGGCUUGUUAAGUUAGGGGUGAAAUCCCGGAGCUCAACUCCGGAACUGCCUCUAAAACUGGCAGGCUAGAGGAUGUGAGAGGAUAGUGGAAUUCCGAGUGUAGAGGUGAAAUUCGUAGAUAUUCGGAAGAACACCAGUGGCGAAGGCGACUGUCUGGCACAUUUCUGACGCUGAGGUGCGAAAGCGUGGGGAGCGAACAGGAUUAGAUACCCCCGUAGUCC